GGAGUGGUGAAAACUAUUGCCAGGGACUGAGAUCUGCACACAGGAUUUCCAUUGACAGGUGCCAGGGACUAAACUCAUGAUGGUAUGAGUGAUCAUUUAUGCGUGCCGCUAUGUGGCACGGAAAAUAGCAGCUUCCAGACGUGGUGACAGCGAGGAGGACACGGUCAUGGCCAAUGGAUCUGCAAGACCUUCGUGCAUGCUGCGCCAAGGGAAAAAGAAAGAUAGUGCACUGCCACCUACUCUUUCCACCCCACUGACGUCCGACACACAAGGAGAACUUCCCUGCUCCCCCACAUCCACGUCACGUGAUCCGGUGCCGUAUUAAUAUCGCCAGUAAAGAAAAAGGCCGGCAGUCAAGAUAAAGGCAUCA
Molecule: long non-coding RNA, 370 nt
Organism: Nanorana parkeri
Lineage: Eukaryota; Metazoa; Chordata; Amphibia; Anura; Dicroglossidae
Exons: 3
Source: RefSeq, a predicted model, not a curated record